CAUGCAAGUCGAACGCGCUUUACUCCUUCGGGAGUGAAGUGAGUGGCGAACGGGUGAGUAACACGUGAGCAACCUACCCUUGACUCUGGAAUAACAGCUGGAAACAGCUGCUAAUACCGGAUACGACCUUCGAUGGCAUCAUCUGGAGGUGGAAAGCCCCGACGGUCAAGGAUGGGCUCGCGGCCUAUCAGCUUGUUGGUGAGGUAACGGCUCACCAAGGCUUCGACGGGUAGCCGGCCUGAGAGGGCGACCGGCCACACUGGGACUGAGAUACGGCCCAGACUCCUACGGGAGGCAGCAGUGGGGAAUAUUGCACAAUGGGCGCAAGCCUGAUGCAGCAACGCCGCGUGCGGGAUGACGGCCUUCGGGUUGUAAACCGCUUUCAGUAGGGACGAAGGUAACCUGACGGUACCUACAGAAGAAGGACCGGCCAACUACGUGCCAGCAGCCGCGGUGAUACGUAGGGUCCGAGCGUUGUCCGGAAUUAUUGGGCGUAAAGGGCUUGUAGGCGGUCUGUCGCGUCGGAAGUGAAAACUCAGGGCUUAACCCUGAGCCUGCUUCCGAUACGGGCAGACUAGAGGGAUGCAGGGGAGAACGGAAUUCCUGGUGGAGCGGUGGAAUGCGCAGAUAUCAGGAGGAACACCGGUGGCGAAGGCGGUUCUCUGGGCAUUUCCUGACGCUGAGAAGCGAAAGCGUGGGGAGCAAACAGGAUUAGAUACCCUGGUAGUCCACGCCGUAAACGUUGGGCGCUAGGUGUGGGGGCCAUUCCACGGUUUCUGUGCCGCAGCUAACGCAUU
Molecule: ribosomal RNA, 797 nt
Filed under: uncultured Propionibacteriales bacterium
Lineage: Bacteria; Bacillati; Actinomycetota; Actinomycetes; Propionibacteriales
Description: bacterial SSU rRNA
Rfam family: Bacterial small subunit ribosomal RNA
Source: RNAcentral